This 76-nucleotide transfer RNA is filed under the name Pseudomonas aeruginosa. Its description in RNAcentral is "tRNA-Gly". It matches the Rfam family "tRNA". Rfam says of the family: Transfer RNA (tRNA) molecules are approximately 80 nucleotides in length. RNAcentral also lists the same sequence under 9 other names. The record is from RNAcentral. Lineage: Bacteria; Pseudomonadati; Pseudomonadota; Gammaproteobacteria; Pseudomonadales; Pseudomonadaceae.
GCGGGAAUAGCUCAGUUGGUAGAGCACGACCUUGCCAAGGUCGGGGUCGCGAGUUCGAGUCUCGUUUACCGCUCCA